RNAcentral lists this unclassified non-coding RNA (184 nucleotides) under uncultured Ascomycota. RNAcentral's name for it is "sequence contains ITS1". The record is from RNAcentral. Lineage: Eukaryota; Fungi; Ascomycota.
AAGAGUAAGGGUGCUCCGGCGCCCGACCUCCAACCCUUUGUUGUUAAAACUACCUUGUUGCUUUGGCGGGACCGCCCGGUCCCCGAGCCGCCGGGGGCUUCGGCCCCAGGCGAGCGCCCGCCAGAGUUAAACCAAACUCUUGUUAAUUUAACCGGUCGUCUGAGUAAAAAUUUUGAAUAAAUCA